GACGAACGCUGGCGGCGCGCUUAACACAUGCAAGUCGAGCGAGAACCAGGGCUUCGGCUCUGGGGACAGCGGCGAACGGGUGAGUAACACGUGAGUAAUCUGCCCUCGACACUGGGAUAGCCCGGGGAAACCCGGAUUAAUACCGGAUAGCCUUUCGAGCUCUCGGGCUCGUCAGAAAAGGAUGGCUUCGGCUUUCGGUUGAGGAUGAGCUUGCGGCGGAUUAGCUUGUUGGUGAGGAACGGCUCACCAAGGCGACAAUCCGUAGCUGGUCUGAGAGGACGAUCAGCCACACUGGGACUGAGACACGGCCCAGACUCCUACGGGAGGCAGCAGUGGGGGAAUCUUGCGCAAUGAGCGAAAGCUUGACGCAGCGACGCCGCGUGAGGGAAGAAGGCCUUC
RNAcentral lists this ribosomal RNA (399 nucleotides) under uncultured bacterium. RNAcentral describes it as "bacterial SSU rRNA". It matches the Rfam family "Bacterial small subunit ribosomal RNA", at positions 28 to 419 of the family's 1533-position model. The record is from RNAcentral.